RNAcentral lists this ribosomal RNA (606 nucleotides) under uncultured Thermoplasmatales archaeon. RNAcentral's name for it is "bacterial SSU rRNA". It matches the Rfam family "Archaeal small subunit ribosomal RNA", at positions 1 to 612 of the family's 1478-position model. Lineage: Archaea; Methanobacteriati; Thermoplasmatota; Thermoplasmata; Thermoplasmatales. The record is from RNAcentral.
UUCUGGUUGAUCCUGCCGGCGGGCACCGCUAUUGGAGUUCGCUUAAGCCAUGCGAGUCGAGAGGGGUAAGCCCUCGGCGCACUGCUCAGUAACACGCGGACAAUCUGCCCUCGAGACGGGGAUAACCCCGGGAAACUGGGAAUAAUACCCGAUAGGUCUGAGAUGAUGGAAGGCUCUCAAGCCCAAAUCCUGCGGGGCUCGAGGAUGGGUCUGCGGCCUAUCGGGUAGUAGGGGGUUUCACGGACCCCCUAGCCAUAGACGGGUACGGGCUUUGGGAGAAGUCGCCCGGAGAUGGAUUCUGAGACACGAAUCCAGGUCCUACGGGACGCAGCAGGCGCGAAACCUCCACAAUGUGGGCAACCACGAUGGGGGAACUCCAAGUGCCUACACUUUUGUGUAGGCUGUUCUCGAGCCUAAAAAGCUCGAGAAGUAAGGGCCGGGUAAGACGGGUGCCAGCCGCCGCGGUAAUACCCGCGGCCCGAGUGGUGCUCAUUAUUAUUGAGCCUAAAGCGUCCGUAGCUGGCCGGGCAAAUCUCCGGGUAAAUCGGGCGGCUCAACUGCCCGAAUUCCGGAGACACUGCUCGGCUUGGGAUCGGGAGAGGGUGA